Molecule: ribosomal RNA, 301 nt
Filed under: uncultured bacterium
Lineage: Bacteria
Description: partial 16S ribosomal RNA
Rfam family: Bacterial small subunit ribosomal RNA
Source: RNAcentral
CAGUAGCGCGGGAAUACAGAGGGUGCAAGCGUUAAUCGGAAUUACUGGGCGUAAAGCGCGCGUAGGUGGUUUGUUAAGUUGGAUGUGAAAGCCCCGGGCUCAACCUGGGAACUGCAUCCAAAACUGGCAAGCUAGAGUACGGUAGAGGGUGGUGGAAUUUCCUGUGUAGCGGUGAAAUGCGUAGAUAUAGGAAGGAACACCAGUGGCGAAGGCGACCACCUGGACUGAUACUGACACUGAGGUGCGAAAGCGUGGGGAGCAAACAGGAUUAGAUACCCCCGUAGUCCCUGUCUCUUAUACA